CUUCUAAUGCUUUUUUCCCCGGUGCUUAGCCCUGCUACAAAACUUGAUCAACGGAUUGCAUUCCAUUUCAUUCCACGACACAAACUUACAUUCCAUUCGUUAUUUACUCCAUGUACGUACGACACACGUGCAGCUUUAUUUAGCUCGAACUCAAACACGAGAGCAGAGAUGAAAAUGACGAACGCGUGUAAUCCGGUUCAGUACUUGGUGCAUUUGUUGGUGGAGCCGCUGUCGAGGUGGAGCACGCAGCCCUUGCCGUCCUCGGGCGCGCACACGCAGGCGCACCCGUCGAGCUUCUGGCCGGGGUAGUUCUUGCAGGUGAUGUACCCUCCCUGGAUGCACCGGAUGUUGUCGCAGGUCGCCUGCGCGUCCCCGAACACCACCAGCGCUGCUCGAUCCACAACAAACACAAGCAAGGAUACAUAAUCGUGAGAGGGAGUGAUGCUUGAUCAUAGAAAACACAAGCAAGGAUGCGAAUGGAGGCUUACCGGAGAGGAGGAGGACGAAGGUGAGUGACAGCUUCAUGGUGGCGGCCAUGCUUGCGCGUUCGUCUCUGUGCGUCGUGCGAUCUGUGGUUGCAGCGCGGUGCCGGUGCGUUUAUAUAGGGAGGCUUCGGUUCAGCUCAGCCAAACUGCAUGCUGGAUCCGCCGCCCUCUCUGACUUUGUGCCACGUAGGUUCACCGGGGAUUUGAAACAAGAUCACAUGGCAGGCGAUACUAUGUGCUCCAAUACGUACGUGCUUGCGUCGACGGCGGCUUCGUGGAUUUCAGAACUAUGGCCACGUUUCCCGUCGAUCUCAGGCAGCAUGAUUUGUCCGGCCGAUUGAGGGCAGAAAGUCAGAGGAGGUUGCCGACUUGGUCGAGCGCCUCUUCGUUUGUGAGGUGUUGCCGUGCUGGAUGGAUCAGCGGCCAACCCGUACCACUGUUUGUUCGAUGUGGAUCGGGUUGACGUACCGCUCAAAAGUCUCAGUCGUCGAGUUCACAGAUCACAAACAGUGGGACGUGACCUGCAAAGCUUUCGGCCUACUUCUUUGAGCUUGAAAAGUUAUCUUGCAUUCAACAUUGUGCUCUGGAUCCAAAAUGGUCCAGUCAAACAAUCAUCACCAUUACAUUUCUUUAUUUCCAGAGCUGCUUAUCGAGGUCCAUCGACCAUCACGCAUAUGGCAGGUUCACUGCUUCGAGUUGAAGUAUGGAGGCUCAACUUGGAUCUUUACAAAACAGUUGGCUAGCCUCUUUCCUCCUCUACAAAAAAAAAGAUCUCAGUCUUUCCUCCUCCUCCCAUCGGCACUGCCGCCAGUCCACCCCGUCUGCUAUGGCCUAUGGGCCAAAUAAUAGUGGAGGACCUCGGCCCCCACCCGCGGGAGGGACUCUACUCCCGCUUUUGUUAGGUUUAGUGUCUUCAUUAGGGUUGUGUGACGGCAGUGAUGUCCCUCGGCAGGAAUAAUGUCUCCCACAUUCGAUUCCCAUCUCGAUAGUGUGUCUAGCUUCAUCGGAGGACGUGUGGACAUGUGUCUUAGUCAGAUCUCGCGGACCCGGUCGGUGCUGGUCUUCGGUGGAUCUUUCUGGAUCUUGUGUUCGUUCAUCUUUGUUCGGGUGUUUACAGAUUUGACCCCUCCGGUCUACGACUUUCUUCAGCAGCGAUGAUUGUUGCUCCGGUGCAUUGGUCCUAUGGGAGCUUGGCACAACAACAAGAUUUGCCUGUCUCCAGUGAGGGAGGGGCGAUGACAAUGGCGCGUCUUUAGCUUGUUCCAGUGGUUACAGUCCUCGCUAGGUGGUAUAUAGACCUGAUUGUAAUUUUUAUUAUCUCUGGGGUUAUUUGUAUUGUCAUGGUUAAUAAUGAAUAAAUCAGAAGUUUCAAAGAGAAAAAAGAGUUGAAGUACGGACAAUUGACAGCAAGAUGACCAUAUGAAACCCCUUCAGCCCAACUGGGUACUUCACAUCAAUCGCGUGGAUCUUUUUUAUGAAAUCCGAAAAUAUGAUCCCAAUUUCAAAAAUUACGAUUGUAUCAUCUUGUUGUAGUUGCCGCCACCGAAGAGCCGCUUUUCAUAUCCGACUAGGACGAAGAGAUAGUUUUCGUGGCCACCUCGGAUGAAGAUGGAGUUUUCGAGGCCACCACAGACGGAGAGAGACUUUUCGUUGCUGACCGCAAUGAAGAGUGAUCGACAACCACCCCUCUCCCCCCGCGCUCGUUCCACCUACCCGCAGUUAUCGUCUUCGUAGUCUACUGCAGCAAGAACUUCCUUUUCAUUGUCAUGGCCAAUGAAAAGUCCUGGCAUAUUGUGCGAUGUCUUUCUUAUUCCUUUUCAUUUGCUCCCCCUCCCCCUCUCUCUCUCCCUCUCUCUCUCUCUCUCUUAUUCUUGUGCAACAAUUUCUUCUCUUGUCUCUACCUCAUUCCUAGGGCUCGCCGGUAUGUGAGCACCAAAGAUCGAAACAAGGAUGAAAGACCGUGGAUGUCGCCUAGAGGAGGGAGGGUGAAUAGGUGCUUUAAAAUAAUUACGCUUUAGGCUUGAACAAAUGCGGAAUAAAACUAGAGUUUAAUUUAUCAAGCACAAAACCUAAAUCAACUAGGCUCAUAUAUGUGCACCGGCAACUUAUGCUAAGCAAGAUAAACAACUAAGUGAUAGCAAGAUAUAUAACAUGAAACGUUAUGACUAUCACAAAGUAAAGUGCAUAAGUAAAUGGCUCGGGUAAGAGAUAAUCGAGGCACACAGAGAUGACGAUGUAUCCCGAAGUUCAAACCCUUGCGGACGCUAAUCUCUGUUUGAAGUCGUGUGGAGGCACAAUGUUCCCCAAAAUUCCACUAGGGUCACCGUAAUCUCCUCGCGCACUUACACAAUGCAAGAUGCCAUGAUUCCACUAGGGGACCCUUGAGGACGGUCACCGAACCCGUACAAAUGGCGACCCUUGGGUACAGUCACCGAACCCGUACAAAUGGAACCUUGGGGGCAGUCGCCGAACAUGUACAAAUUGCUCGGGGGAAUCUUCACAACUUAAUUAGAGAGACCGAAGCUUGCCCAGAGUUCUACACCAUAAUUAUUGAGCUCCGCGACACCACCAACUAUCUAGGACGCCCAAACACCCAAGAGUAAUAAACUUCUCAACUUUCACUUCCACGUACCAUCGUGAAAAACUCAAACCGGUGCAACGAAUGAAAUGACAAGAACACACGAAGUGCUCAAGUCCCUCACUCUCAAAUCUCACCAAAGCAACAAAAGCUAUGGAGGAAUAUGAGAGGAAGAACACAAAAAGAACUUCAAGAUCUAGAUCCACAAGGUUCCCUCACUAAGAGGAGACAUGGAUUGGUGGAGAAUGUGGAUAUAGAUAUCUCUCUCUUUUCCCACAAAAAGAUUCAAGAUUCAUUGGAGGAAUGGAGAGAAGGCAAAGCUUUUGGAGGUCAACAAUGGAGGAGAAAUCUUGGCCAAAGUCGUUGGGGGCAAUGGGGAAGAAGACCCCUUUUUUUAUAGUGGGAGGACAAAUCCAAUCGUUAUAUGCACUUGUCGUGCUCAAGCGGUACUACCGCUUAGCCCGGUCAACGCGACCCAACGAGUAUAGAAGUACUAGAACGACAAUUCCGUCGGAGCAGUACUACUGCCUCUGACAAGCAGUGCUACCACUAAUUGUUGAAGGGUUACAGAGGAACCAACGGUAGCCAGCACCACACUAGAGUGGAAGUACCGCACAAGCGGUACUACCGUGUCACUACCGCUUAUAAUCCAAAUAGCAAUAGAAGGCAUUUCCCAAGCAAAAGUUGGAGCGGCACCAGCCUGCGGAAAUAAUGCCUAAGCGAUACUACCAUGGACCUGAGCGGUACUACCGCCAAGGUGCUGCAAACUUGCCCAAGCACAACAGUUGAAUGCAAAAAGACCAAAAUUAUUAUAACUUCUGCAAAUGAACGCUGAUUUUGAUGAACUCCAUCGGUGAGGAACUGACAUAAACUCCAACAUCGAAAACGCAAUACAUAAACUCCGCCCAGUUCACCAAUGUCCUCUACCCCAACAUCUACAUUCUUAAGGUUAUAUUGGUCGAGCUACUCUAUUAUAACCCCGGCUUUCCUCCGUAAUAAGGGAGUUUGAUGCUCCACAACGGGGAGCUGCAUGAUCACAUUUCUUGUCGACAUCCCCGGUGAGCAUGUGCUUGCCAUCUCUCCGGCCACGUUAUCUUCACAUGAUGCUUAUGCUCUGUGCAUGGGUGAUCACCCUGCCGACAACUUUGCCACUCACAUUUGGCAUUUAUUCGCCCCUAGUCGGUGCAAAUUAUCCAUUUGGCCAUGUCAUCGUCAUCAUCUACCAUGUGUCAUCCUCCUCCAUCAUAGGUGCAACCUUGGUCGGUUGUGUCCAUCUUCGGUGGACAAGAGGAAACAAUCGAGCACAUGUUCUUCGCUUAUGUUCAUGCAAGCAUCAUUCAGGAGUAGGUGCUCCCCACUGGUCCACCAUCGAUCCUCUAUGUGAAACAGACUUGCACCUACGCCUCAUAUUUUGACCACUAAACCUUUGGAUUGCAAAAUAAUUGUUUCGAGAAUCUCUUGAUGGUUUCCGAAGCUUUCCAUGACCUCAAUUUUUGUAAAGAUAACAAUUAUGUAAGUCAGAGAUGCAUGGACCAAAAGAUAAGGAAACUGCACAAUCCAUCCAUGGUGAAUAACCCUUUGCUUUGUUUCAUAAUGCUAGCUCCAUCACAUCGCUACAUCCUCUAUGUGGUUGGGGGGGGGGGGGUCUACUGAUUGAAAGAGUAUCAGUGCUCCUCCCGCGAGCCAUUACGAUGAUGGUUGUGCUCUUGGGGUUCUGAAUGAACUGCGUAUGCCUGAACUUGUGUCCUACAACAUUAUCACAGGUGUACUUUUGUGGUGGUUGUGAUGCUCCCGCUUGGGUCUAAAACUUCACAACCCUAGACUAUUUUUUGUUCUGCUUCACAUUUUAGCAAGUGUCUUCUACUGCUUCUUUGUUGUUUCUCUUCUGCGCCAUGCAAAACUUAUGUCUUUCUUUUAGAUCAUGCAAAACUUAUCUUCUUUCUUGAGAUCACGCAAAACUGAUUUAAUAAAGUACUCCUGGUUUAAGGACACCGUUGUAACCCGCUCCCAAAACGCAGCCGCCUCCUUCCCCAAACAAAACUAAGGUUCCUUUGCCGCCUGCUGUCGCUAUCGCCGGUCCACCUCGUCUCCAGUGGCAUUAGGGCCAUGGCGGUGCAAUGGAUCCCUGCCUUUACCGGCGGGAGGGCUUCGCUUGUUAGAUGUUUCUUCGAGUUUUGUUAGGGUUUGUGUCCUGCUCAGAAAAACGAGACAAUGGUGGAUCCUUAAAAAUGGAAUAAGGUUCUUCCCGCCAAGUCUCCGUUCCGGUGGUGCAUCUAGUAUCAUCUGUGGGUGUGUGGAGGUGUGACUCCGGCAAGUCUGUCUUUGGUGAAUUUGCUCGGAUGUGGUCGUAGUUUGUCUACAUUCGUGUGUCUUCGGGUCGGAUCCUUCCAAUCUACAAUACUCUUCAACGGCGACGAUUGCUGUCCUGGUGCGCUGGUCCUAUGAAGCCUUAGCAUGACGACCUCCCGACUAUUUAGUACAACAAGUUUUGCGUGACUCCGGCGAGAGAGUGACGAAGACGGCGGCGCGCCUUCAACUCGCUUCAGUGUUUGUAAUCGUUAGGUGGUAUAUGGAUCUGUAUAUAAUUUUUAUUAUUUUUGAUGUUUGUUGUACUGCCAUGAUUAAAAAUGAAUAGAUCGGCAGUAUUCCUCCAAAAAAUAUAAAAUAAAAAAUGGAUUAACCAAAAGUUCAGUUGGGCUGUUCUGCCCCUUAUGCCUUCUAAAGAGAAAGUAACCCGCCUAACCCGUGUCUUGCAAUUAGGUUCAGUGCAACAACUACAUAAAAAAGAUAGCAACCUUGGAUCUGGUCUAGAGUUAGUGGACAACACAUACCCAUUGCAUUCUUAUCUGGACGUGCCAAUUACCCAAACUGGCCAUAAUAAGUUACCAUUAAGAGUGCGCGUGGCCGGACAUAGGGAAGAUAGGGGGAAAGAAUAUGCCUCCGGGACUUUCGGUAGUCCGGUUAGCGGGCUGCCGGACAUGAGGAAGACACAAGGAUCCGCCGAGGCCUGACAUAGCUUAGUGUAUUGUAUCCGUGUCGUGGGAGUGGAGCGCGCGACUGUAAGUGCAUAUAGUUUUACUUUUUUUGUUAAAAUAUGUCUAAAAUGUAACUUUUUUCGUUUGGUUUGUAUGAAAUUGUCACGUCUAUAUGAAAUCCGGCCAAGUUUGCAUGAAUUUCACCCGGUUAGUUGAAAACAAUAUGAAAUGUAUGCGGCUAGUGUUGGAUGACGUCCUCCCGCAUCCGUAUCUGUGGACGGACGCCGGAGAAAAUUUGCGAGUUGCCGUUGAAGAUGCCCUUAUGAAGUAUCAGGGUAUUAUUAAAUCUUUAAUAUUAUUGUGCGCGUACGUACUUUUAUGAGUUUUACCACAUUCUGCUCGGAAAUUUUAUUCGAAGCGUGUAAAGUUGAAUUACACUGCCAAACCACAGACACGCGAACAUUUUCGUUGUUCGACACCAAGCUUGCAGAGCCUUAUUGAACUCAGAUUCAAACCAACAAUUCAGCUAGAACUUUUUGGUCGUGCCGCAGUUGGUGUGGGUCACGCCGUCGUCGAGGUGGAGCACGCAGCCCUUGCCGUCGGCCGGCGCGCACUCGCAGUCGCACCCGUCGAGCUCCUGGCCGGGGUAGUUGUCGCAGGUGAUGUGCCCUCCCUG
This 6714-nucleotide long non-coding RNA is filed under the name Triticum aestivum (bread wheat). RNAcentral describes it as "long non-coding RNA (TAES_LNC001905)". The record is from RNAcentral. Lineage: Eukaryota; Viridiplantae; Streptophyta; Magnoliopsida; Poales; Poaceae.